Long non-coding RNA from Sphaeramia orbicularis (orbiculate cardinalfish), 135 nucleotides. RefSeq lists it as uncharacterized. The record is from RefSeq and is a predicted model, not a curated record. The transcript is spliced from 3 exons. Lineage: Eukaryota; Metazoa; Chordata; Actinopteri; Kurtiformes; Apogonidae.
CAAAAACCAACAGAAUUUAGUGAGAAGUAAGAUGAACGAGUGAGGAGUAAGAUCUGUCCUUUUAACUAAACAAAGGGAUUUGUUGGAUUUAUUUAGCUGUAAUGGUGGACACUGGAACUGGAGCUGGACUGGCAG